Molecule: long non-coding RNA, 283 nt
Organism: Toxotes jaculatrix (banded archerfish)
Lineage: Eukaryota; Metazoa; Chordata; Actinopteri; Toxotidae
Exons: 3
Source: RefSeq, a predicted model, not a curated record
AUUCUCCACGGCGAUGUGCAAAACAGCGUAUGAAGGGAAAACAGGUAGAAGAACCUGAUGACGUGAAGGGGUGAGACGGUCCUGGAGGAUGAAAGACUCAACGCUUCAGCAGCAAAAAAAAAAACACCGCCAGUACGUCUUUCACCAGAGGAAAAGUCCCAGAGUGUGAGCGUGUUCGGCGCUGCGGCAGCCACCGGUGUGACUGAUCCUGAUGACAGCUCUGACUGCUGCUGCUGCUGCUUGUACUUUGUUCAAGUACAACAGCAAACAGUGCUUUCACCCA